Ribosomal RNA from Astyanax mexicanus (Mexican tetra), 119 nucleotides. The record is from Ensembl. Lineage: Eukaryota; Metazoa; Chordata; Actinopteri; Characiformes; Acestrorhamphidae.
GCUUACGGUCACACUACCCUGAGAACGCCCGAUCUCGUCUGAUCUCGGAAGCUAAGCAGGGUUUGCCCUGGUUAGUACUUGGAUGGAAGACCACCUGGGAAUACCAGGUGCUGUAAGCU